UACAGAGGGUGCGAGCGUUGUUCGGAAUUAUUGGGCGUAAAGGGCGCGUAGGCGGUGCCACAAGUCACCUGUGAAAUCCCCGGGCUUAACUCGGGGCCUGCAGGCGAAACUGUGGUGCUGGAGUAUGGGAGAGGUGCGUGGAAUUCCCGGUGUAGCGGUGAAAUUCGUAGAUAUCGGGAGGAACACCAGUGGCGAAGGCGGCGACCUGGGCCAAUAUUGACGCUGAGGUGCGAAAGCGUGGGGAGCAAACAGG
This 253-nucleotide ribosomal RNA is filed under the name uncultured bacterium. RNAcentral's name for it is "partial 16S ribosomal RNA". It matches the Rfam family "Bacterial small subunit ribosomal RNA", at positions 524 to 776 of the family's 1533-position model. The record is from RNAcentral.